GGACUUAUGAGGAGGGUAGUGGUGACCUAUAAUAACUGGAGUCCCAGAAUUCAAAACCAGAUACUGAAACAGGAGAAGGAACACAGCUUUGAAGAAAACCAUAUCAAGCCGAAGAACAAUACUACAGUGGAAAUGACCUAGUUAGUUCAUACAUCAUAGCUACACAAAAGAAGAGAGAUUCUCUCAACCAAUGAAAUCGAGAAGUGAUGGCACAACACGAUUGACGGCGGAUGCAUGGCGGUGGCUGAAACUAGAACAAAAACUGAAAGAAGAGUUUAGAGGAAAAAGGAGAGAGAGACGUGCAGAGGAAGCUUACUGACAACGACAACCAGCAAGCGACGUGGCUGGCGAUCGACGAACUAGCAGUGGUACAGCGAAGGAAUUGAAGGAAAGGAGAAUAAAUUGAAGCAAAAAUGAAAACUAAUAUACUUCUAAAUGAUGAAAUUAUUUGACGUUGGAUUUUGCGAGAGGAGGAAGAAAUCGAAUAAAAAAGGAAGAAAAAUCCCUUAAAUCGAAUAAAAAAUUGUAAAGAGGAGAAACUUACGCUGGAACUAUAAGAGAAAAAAAGGGAGAGGAACGUGGACAAUUUUGAAAUAAAUAUAAACCAAAUUUUAGAUU
Non-coding RNA from Benincasa hispida (wax gourd), 618 nucleotides. The record is from RefSeq and is a predicted model, not a curated record. Lineage: Eukaryota; Viridiplantae; Streptophyta; Magnoliopsida; Cucurbitales; Cucurbitaceae.